This 255-nucleotide ribosomal RNA is filed under the name uncultured bacterium. Its description in RNAcentral is "partial 16S ribosomal RNA". It matches the Rfam family "Bacterial small subunit ribosomal RNA", at positions 524 to 776 of the family's 1533-position model. The record is from RNAcentral.
UACGUAGGGCGCAAGCGUUGUCCGGAAUUAUUGGGCGUAAAGAGCUCGUAGGCGGCUUGUCACGUCGAUUGUGAAAGCCCGAGGCUUGAACCUCGGGUCUGCAGUCGAUACGGGCUAGCUAGAGUGUGGUAGGGGAGAGUCGGAAUUCCUGGUGUAGCGGUGAAAUGCGCAGAUAUCAGGAAGAACACCCGUGGCUAAGGCGGCUCUCUAGUACGGUACUGACGCUGAGACGCGAAAGCGUGGGGAGCGAACAGG